GGUCAAGUCGACGGAAAUUUGGUUAGAUUGACGCGUUGGCGUGUGAGUGGCUAAUUGAAUGUAUGUGUUGGCUGGCUCCCUGCUUGCGCAGCGAACUGUUGCCGCAUACAUAUUUCAGUCGGAAUCGGUGACGUGUUGUGUCGGAUUUUUGUGUUGCCAACC
RNAcentral lists this unclassified non-coding RNA (162 nucleotides) under Pachyphytum machucae. Its description in RNAcentral is "partial external transcribed spacer". Lineage: Eukaryota; Viridiplantae; Streptophyta; Magnoliopsida; Saxifragales; Crassulaceae. The record is from RNAcentral.